Molecule: ribosomal RNA, 244 nt
Filed under: uncultured bacterium
Lineage: Bacteria
Description: partial 16S ribosomal RNA
Rfam family: Bacterial small subunit ribosomal RNA
Source: RNAcentral
CGGGGUGAGUAACACGUGGGUAACCUGCCCGGAAGUGGGGAAUACCUCGGGGAAACUCGAGCUAAUGCCGCAUGACAUCUCCGGGACGAAAGUCCUGGCGAUCAAAGCGGGGUCGUAAGAUCUCGCGCUACCGGAUGGGCCCGCGCCCGAUUAGCUAGUUGGUGAGGUAACGGCUCACCAAGGCUUCGAUCGGUAGCCGGCCUGAGAGGGUGAUCGGCCACACCGGAACUGAGACACGGUCCGG